This 167-nucleotide unclassified non-coding RNA is filed under the name uncultured Ascomycota. RNAcentral's name for it is "sequence contains ITS1". The record is from RNAcentral. Lineage: Eukaryota; Fungi; Ascomycota.
CCGAGUUGCAAGACUCCCAACCAUCGUGAACCGCUACCCUGUCGUUGCUUCGGCGGGCGGCCCCUGGGAGGGGCCGCUGCCGCGCCUGGCGCCCGCCGGAGCGACCCACAAACACACAAACCAUAGCCUGCCGGUGUCUCUCUGAAUCUUUUUACAGAAACGAAUCA